GACGAACGCUGGCGGCGUGCUUAACACAUGCAAGUCGAACGGUAAGGCCCCAGAUUGCUGGGGUACACGAGUGGCGAACGGGUGAGUAACACGUGGGUGACCUGCCCCGCACUUCGGGAUAAGCCUGGGAAACUGGGUCUAAUACCGGAUAGGACCGCACCGUGAGGGUGUGGUGGAAAGUUGUUCGGUGUGGGAUGGGCCCGCGGCCUAUCAGCUUGUUGGUGGGGUAAUGGCCUACCAAGGCGGCGACGGGUAGCCGGCCUGAGAGGGUGGACGGCCACAUUGGGACUGAGAUACGGCCCAGACUCCUACGGGAGGCAGCAGUGGGGAAUAUUGCACAAUGGGCGGAAGCCUGAUGCAGCGACGCCGCGUGGGGGAUGACGGCCUUCGGGUUGUAAACGCCUUUCACCAUCGACGAAGGUUUUCUGACGGUAGCUGGAGAAGAAGCACCGGCUAACUACGUG
This 464-nucleotide ribosomal RNA is filed under the name uncultured bacterium. Its description in RNAcentral is "partial 16S ribosomal RNA". It matches the Rfam family "Bacterial small subunit ribosomal RNA", at positions 28 to 507 of the family's 1533-position model. The record is from RNAcentral.